RNAcentral lists this transfer RNA (87 nucleotides) under Bacteroidota bacterium. Its description in RNAcentral is "Bacteroidetes bacterium (groundwater metagenome) tRNA-Ser". It matches the Rfam family "tRNA". Rfam says of the family: Transfer RNA (tRNA) molecules are approximately 80 nucleotides in length. Their secondary structure includes four short double-helical elements and three loops (D, anti-codon, and T loops). Lineage: Bacteria; Pseudomonadati; Bacteroidota. The record is from RNAcentral.
GGAGAGAUGCGUGAGCGGUUUAAACGGCAUGCCUGGAGAGCAUGUGUACUCGCAAGGGUACCCAGGGUUCGAAUCCCUGUCUCUCCG